RNAcentral lists this signal recognition particle RNA (176 nucleotides) under Tissierellia bacterium. RNAcentral describes it as "partial signal recognition particle sRNA large type". It matches the Rfam family "Bacterial large signal recognition particle RNA", at positions 1 to 174 of the family's 256-position model. From Rfam's summary of the family: The signal recognition particle (SRP) is a universally conserved ribonucleoprotein involved in the co-translational targeting of proteins to membranes. Archaeal SRP consists of a 7S RNA and homologues of the eukaryotic SRP19 and SRP54 proteins. In most bacteria, the SRP consists of a 4.5S RNA and the Ffh protein (a homologue of the eukaryotic SRP54 protein). The record is from RNAcentral. Lineage: Bacteria; Bacillati; Bacillota; Tissierellia.
CCGUGCUAGGCGGGGGGCUAGCGGUACCCUGUAACCUACAAUCCGCUACAGUAGGGUCGAACACCUUUUUGAGGGACCUUGAGGUGGAGCUGCUCUUGGCAAGCACCGAUGAAGGAUGAGUCCUACGCAAUGAAGACUUUUGAACCCCGUCAGGUCCGGAAGGAAGCAGCGGUAAG